UACGGAGGGUCCAAGUGUUAUCCGGAAUCAUUGGGUUUAAAGGGUCCGUAGGCGGUUUUGUAAGUCAGUGGUGAAAGCCCAUCGCUCAACGGUGGAACGGCCAUUGAUACUGCAAGACUUGAAUUAUUGUGAAGUAACUAGAAUAUGUAGUGUAGCGGUGAAAUGCUUAGAGAUUACAUGGAAUACCAAUUGCGAAGGCAGGUUACUAACAAUAUAUUGACGCUGAUGGACGAAAGCGUGGGUAGCGAACAGG
Molecule: ribosomal RNA, 253 nt
Filed under: uncultured bacterium
Lineage: Bacteria
Description: partial 16S ribosomal RNA
Rfam family: Bacterial small subunit ribosomal RNA
Source: RNAcentral